GACGAACGCUGGCGGCGCGCUUAACACAUGCAAGUCGAACGGAAAGGCCUGCUUUCCCUUGUGGAUUGCGGGUACUCGAGUGGCGAACGGGUGAGUAACACGUGAGUGAUCUGCCCCCAACUUGGGUAUAAGCCUGGGAAACUGGGUCUAAUUCCCGAUAGGACUGCAGGGUGGUGCCUGUGGUGGAAAACGAUUUUCUAGUGGUUGGGGAUGAGCUCGCGGCCUAUCAGCUUGUUGGUGGGGUAAUGGCCUAUCAAGGCGGCGACGGGUAGCCGGCCUGAGAGGGUGGACGGCCACAUUGGGACUGAGAUACGGCCCAGACUCCUACGGGAGGCAGCAGUGGGGAAUAUUGCACAAUGGGCGGAAGCCUGAUGCAGCGACGCCGCGUGGGGGAUGACGGCCUUCGGGUUGUAAACUCCUUUCGACCGCGAGGAAGCCACCUGGUUGGAAGGGUGGUGACGGUAGUGGUAGAAGAAGCACCGGCUAACUACGUG
Molecule: ribosomal RNA, 494 nt
Filed under: uncultured bacterium
Lineage: Bacteria
Description: partial 16S ribosomal RNA
Rfam family: Bacterial small subunit ribosomal RNA
Source: RNAcentral